CAGUAGCCGCGGGAAUACGGAGGGGGCUAGCGUUGUUCGGAAUUACUGGGCGUAAAGCGCACGUAGGCGGUUAUUCAAGUCAGAGGUGAAAGCCCGGGGCUCAACCCCGGAACUGCCUUUGAAACUAGAUGACUAGAAUCUUGGAGAGGCGAGUGGAAUUCCGAGUGUAGAGGUGAAAUUCGUAGAUAUUCGGAAGAACACCAGUGGCGAAGGCGACUCGCUGGACAAGUAUUGACGCUGAGGUGCGAAAGCGUGGGGAGCAAACAGGAUUAGAUACCCCCGUAGUCCCUGUCUCUUAUAC
RNAcentral lists this ribosomal RNA (301 nucleotides) under uncultured bacterium. RNAcentral describes it as "partial 16S ribosomal RNA". It matches the Rfam family "Bacterial small subunit ribosomal RNA", at positions 509 to 807 of the family's 1533-position model. The record is from RNAcentral.